Long non-coding RNA from Salarias fasciatus (jewelled blenny), 84 nucleotides. RefSeq lists it as uncharacterized. NCBI's taxonomy places the organism in Eukaryota, Metazoa, Chordata, Actinopteri, Blenniiformes, Blenniidae. The record is from RefSeq and is a predicted model, not a curated record. The transcript is spliced from 3 exons.
UCUCAAUCCCGUAUCGAUCUCGCCUGCGGCAGAUUGCCUCCGAGUUAGCAGCCAGUUUCCAUGACCACCAGAGCCUCCGACACC